Molecule: long non-coding RNA, 387 nt
Organism: Platichthys flesus (European flounder)
Lineage: Eukaryota; Metazoa; Chordata; Actinopteri; Pleuronectiformes; Pleuronectidae
Exons: 4
Source: RefSeq, a predicted model, not a curated record
AGUGGGUAAAGCAGCAGCGUCAGAAUGACGUCAGAGUAGAUCCCGACCAAGGGGCAACAUCCUGGUCUGAGCGAUGAGUUCUUCCGUUUUCCUCUAGGUGGUCCUGAGAGGCUAGACCUGUGGGUGAUCAACAUGAAGAGAUAGAACUGGAUUCUGAGUCUCUGCAGUCAACACUUGAGAGACAACACUUGAGCAUUGACAAAAGGGUGACUCAGACAGCCUGCACCAGUGGAUGUCCAACAUGAGGAGACAGAACAGGACUCCAACAAGACUGAACACUAAGUGUCAUCACCUAUGCACUGACUCCAGGGACGGACGAGCCUGAAGGACUCAGCUGUGCUGACGGUGUUCUGUCUCUUAUGGGGAAUUAGAAAAAUAAAACACUGG